RNAcentral lists this ribosomal RNA (432 nucleotides) under uncultured bacterium. RNAcentral describes it as "partial 16S ribosomal RNA". It matches the Rfam family "Bacterial small subunit ribosomal RNA", at positions 29 to 507 of the family's 1533-position model. The record is from RNAcentral.
ACGAACGCUGGCGGCAUGCCUAACACAUGCAGGUCGAACGAAGGCUUCGGCCUUAGUGGCGCACGGGUGCGUAACGCGUGGGAAUCUGCCCUUUGGUUCGGAAUAACAGCUGGAAACGGCUGCUAAUACCGGAUGAUGACGAAAGUCCAAAGAUUUAUCGCCAGAGGAUGAGCCCGCGUUGGAUUAGGUAGUUGGUGGGGUAAAGGCCUACCAAGCCGACGAUCCAUAGCUGGUCUGAGAGGAUGAUCAGCCACACUGGGACUGAGACACGGCCCAGACUCCUACGGGAGGCAGCAGUGGGGAAUAUUGGACAAUGGGCGCAAGCCUGAUCCAGCAAUGCCGCGUGAGUGAUGAAGGCCCUAGGGUUGUAAAGCUCUUUUACCCGGGAAGAUAAUGACUGUACCGGGAGAAUAAGCCCCGGCUAACUCCGUG